CUGGCAAUAAUUAAAGUCUUGUUUUCAAAUUCUUUAAAAAAUUGCAACAGGGGAGGGGGUAUAAAAUGUAUAGUAAAGAAAAACUUAGAGUAUACACAGUGAUUUCUUUAAGACUAUAAUUCUGAUAAAUGAGUCAUAAUGUGAGAAAAACUGAUUUUAGAGAGUUUUCUAUUUGAAUAAAUGUCUGUAUAGGUUGCACUUUGUAAAUACAGCUGUUUCUGACAACACACCUCUUUUGGGGAGAAAUAGAAUAUUCAUAGAAAAUUAAUUUUGUUUACAUACUGGUUCCCAGUUAUGCUCUCUGUGUUCCAUAUCGCAGAGACAGAACUGGGGAAUGUUACCAGUAAAUAAACACGUGCAUAUUGUUUACAUUGAAAUCUGUGGUAACCUUUCAUUCGAGGUAGGGGUAGUUAAGAAAAUAAGUGUAAG
This 429-nucleotide long non-coding RNA is filed under the name Mytilus galloprovincialis (Mediterranean mussel). The record is from RNAcentral. Lineage: Eukaryota; Metazoa; Mollusca; Bivalvia; Mytilida; Mytilidae.